UACAUUUUGACAAGUUCCUAUGGAGUAAAACUAGCCUCAAUUCAGAAAUACACUUUAUCUCUGAGAAUGGGUGUCUAUGAUCCUCAGACAGGUUGAAGGGGAAAUAUGAGGGAAGGGAAAUUUUCCUAGAGGCCCUCACACAAUCAUCUCUUCCAUCAUGGUCUUUCUCUUUCCUGUGCUCUGAAUAGUCUGUUCUUCUUGUAUCGAGGGCAGAUGACGUAUUUAUAACAUUUCUGGCAGCUGGAAAGCUACGGAGGGAGGGUAAAGAAAGAGGAGUUGUGAGACGCAAAAGAUAUCAUUGCCUUAAAUGCUACAGCUAAAGCUGUUGAAUGGCUUAGCUCCCCCUACAGGAUGCCAUGUAACAUAGCAGCACACACUUAGAAGGUACCAUUUUGUUAAUCUCCUGGCCCUUCAGUUUCAUCCUGUC
Molecule: long non-coding RNA, 427 nt
Filed under: Homo sapiens (human)
Lineage: Eukaryota; Metazoa; Chordata; Mammalia; Primates; Hominidae
Description: HSALNT0296414
Source: RNAcentral